CCUACGGGGGGCAGCAGUCGAGAAUCAUUCACAAUGGGGGAAACCCUGAUGGUGCGACGCCGCGUGGGGGAAUGAAGGUCUUCGGAUUGUAAACCCCUGUCAUGUGGGAGCAAAUUAAAAAGAUAGUACCACAAGAGGAAGAGACGGCUAACUCUGUGCCAGCAGCCGCGGUAAUACAGAGGUCUCAAGCGUUGUUCGGAAUCACUGGGCGUAAGGCGUGCGUAGGCUGUUUCGUAAGUCGUGUGUGAAAGGCGCGGGCUCAACCCGCGGACGGCACAUGAUACUGCGAGACUAGAGUAAUGGAGGGGGAACCGGAAUUCUCGGUGUAGCAGUGAAAUGCGUAGAUAUCGAGAGGAACAUUCGUGGCGAAGGCGGGUUCCUGGACAUUAACUGACGCUGAGGCACGAAGGCCAGGGGAGCGAAAGGGAUUAGAUACCCCUGUAGUC
Molecule: ribosomal RNA, 446 nt
Filed under: uncultured bacterium
Lineage: Bacteria
Description: partial 16S ribosomal RNA
Rfam family: Bacterial small subunit ribosomal RNA
Source: RNAcentral